This 21-nucleotide microRNA is filed under the name Scyliorhinus torazame (cloudy catshark). Its description in RNAcentral is "Sto-Mir-23-P2_5p* (star (passenger))". The record is from RNAcentral. Lineage: Eukaryota; Metazoa; Chordata; Chondrichthyes; Carcharhiniformes; Scyliorhinidae.
GGGUUCCUGGCAUACUGAUUU